CAGUGCCGCGGUAAUACGUAGGGUGCGAGCGUUAAUCGGAAUUACUGGGCGUAAAGGGCGCGUAGGCGGCAUAUACAGUCAGGCGUGAAAUUCCCGGGCUUAACCUGGGGGCUGCGUUUGAUACGUAUGGGCUAGAGUGGGGAAGAGGGUUGUGGAAUUCCCAGUGUAGAGGUGAAAUUCGUAGAUAUUGGGAAGAACACCGGUGGCGAAGGCGGCAACCUGGUCCUUGACUGACGCUGAGGCGCGAAAGCGUGGGGAGCAAACAGGAUUAGAUACCCCCGUAGUCCCUGUCUCUUAUACC
RNAcentral lists this ribosomal RNA (301 nucleotides) under uncultured bacterium. RNAcentral's name for it is "partial 16S ribosomal RNA". It matches the Rfam family "Bacterial small subunit ribosomal RNA", at positions 509 to 808 of the family's 1533-position model. The record is from RNAcentral.